UCAUGUGUGGUAUAGUGGUUUGAGCGUUUGACCAUGAUUCUGGAGACCAGGGUUCGAUUCCCAGCUUGGCCAUGAA
Phrynosoma platyrhinos (Desert horned lizard) is the source of this 76-nucleotide non-coding RNA. NCBI's taxonomy places the organism in Eukaryota, Metazoa, Chordata, Lepidosauria, Squamata, Phrynosomatidae. The record is from the annotation of a GenBank genome assembly.